Molecule: ribosomal RNA, 406 nt
Filed under: uncultured bacterium
Lineage: Bacteria
Description: partial 16S ribosomal RNA
Rfam family: Bacterial small subunit ribosomal RNA
Source: RNAcentral
AUUGAACGCUGGCGGCAGGCCUAACACAUGCAAGUCGAACGAGUGGCGGACGGGUGAUUAAUGUCUGGGAAACUGCCUGAUGGCGGGGGAUAACUACUGGAAACGGUCGCUAAUACCGCAUACCAUCAGAUGUGCCCAGAUGGGAUUAGCUUGUUGGUGGGGUAACGGCUCACCAAGGCGACGAUCCCUAGCUGGUCUGAGAGGAUGACCAGCGACACUGGAACUGAGACACGGGCCAGACUCCUACGGGAGGAAGCAGUGGGGAAUAUUGCACAAUGGGCGCAAGACUGAUGCAGCCAUGCCGCGUGUAUGAAGAGGGCCGUCGGGUUGUAAAGUACUUUAAGCGGGGAGGCGUUACCCGCAGAAGAAGCACAGGAUAACUCCGUGCCAGCAGCCGCGGUAAUUC